GUUUAGUUCUUCAUUCUUCAUUUCACUUAAACAUGCUAAAUAUAGUUGCUGUUGCGUUUUGUUUAUUUGUCCUCUAUUGUGACGUCAUGAUUGCGAGGAGCCAUGCGUAUAGCCAUUCUGAAGAAUGCAGGUAUCCAUUUCGAACAAUAGAGAAUAGCUGUUACUUUAUCAGCAGGGCGAAAGCGACUCCAGAUCAAGCAUUUGCAUUGUGUUUACGGCGUGGUGCAUACCUUGCCAAUUUUGAGACUUUGGAAGAGGCCAUGUUGAUGAAGUAUGAACUUCAACAAAUGAAAACAGGUUUACACUUCCAUGUUGGAGGGCGCAACAUAAACAGAUACGUCCCUGGCGGAGACUGGAGAUGGAUACAAAACGGAAAAAUGAUCAAAAUGACGUACAAAGCUUUUGGUUCUGGACAACCUGGCGGAUCGAAUGCUGCCCUAGAAGACUGCAUGUUUUUUUAUGCAGGAGAAAGAUAUACCUUUCACGAUCUACACUGUGACCACCCCUCAUGGAGUAGUGGAUA
Mytilus californianus (California mussel) is the source of this 523-nucleotide long non-coding RNA. RefSeq lists it as uncharacterized. The transcript is spliced from 4 exons. The record is from RefSeq and is a predicted model, not a curated record. Lineage: Eukaryota; Metazoa; Mollusca; Bivalvia; Mytilida; Mytilidae.